Molecule: long non-coding RNA, 1351 nt
Filed under: Betta splendens (Siamese fighting fish)
Lineage: Eukaryota; Metazoa; Chordata; Actinopteri; Anabantiformes; Osphronemidae
Description: lncRNA (ENSBSLG00000002569.1)
Source: RNAcentral
AACAGCCUGAGGAGUGUAGGCAGGCAGUCAGUGAAGCAGCCUGGUGUCAGGUACAGACAGCGAGCAGCCUCCACGUCGGCCUCUAUCCUCUGCUGCAGUCACACAUGCAGACUGAGACAACAGGUGUUCAAGCAACUCUUCUUCGCACGGUCAUUUGAAACAGCAGAUGUCUGCAGCACAGUGGCCGUGAGUAACACACCUGCCACAUCACCACAACUACACAUCUGUCCACUGUUUAGAACAGCCCACACUCAGGCUACACACUUUCCUACUGCCAUAACAUCUGACAGAUUUCAAAGACUGUGUGAUGAUCUGUACUGUGCAAUAUGGAUGAAACAAGACUAUGAGUAAUAGAGGCAGUAAUUAAAAACAUGUCUGGAAAAGUAAAACUAAACUAAACUAAAACAAUGUCACAACAUGUGGCAGGAGAAAUAUUUCUGUUUCUAAGAUGCCAUUGUUAUAAAAGUAAGUAACCUUUUAAUAUUAAUACAAAAUUGCAGUUUUAGCCAUUGUUCCUUUGUGCAGCUGCAUUUGGACGUCUGCCAAUGAUAUCUCUACAACUUGGUAGCAGCAACUGAUAACGCUGCUCAGAUCCAGGCUUUCUGCACUCACACAUCCACACACGCUGCAAUUUGAGAAUCUGAAACAUCAACACCGCUGUUUUGCUCUGGUGUCAUCGGUAACUUAGUCCAUGACUGUGUCUUUGUCCGUGUGUUGGUGUGUACGCACACCUAUGACGGGGCCCAUGGCCCAUCUGUUGACUGCUUCCGUUGAUUGCUCGCUCCAGUAGCACUCUGGGAAAUGCUAAUGGAGGCAGUUAACGUCAGAUACAGGCGUAAGACAUCUGCAUUUGACCUGCCGUCACCCUGACAGACAGAAGGCUCAAAACAUGUAGAGACAGUCACUAAAUAAGACAAAACAUUAAUACAAAUGAAUGUCGUGGAAAUCUUUGUUUUUAAGAAAUCUACAGGACAAUGUCAGUGUGAUGAACCAUCUCAAAAUUUACUCUCAUGUCGACACGGAGUGGAUCACAAUCACAAUACUUCUAAGACGUAAGGCACAUCUUACUACAGCAUGUACAAAGUAUCCACUGAAGGACUGAGGACACAAGACCUGUAUUUAAACCAUUACAAAACCCCCACAUGUAAAUGUUGACGGGUCCUUGAUAUUGAAAAAACCCUUCCCCUUCUUAUCAGCAUUCUUUUGAUUAAAAGAAGUAAAAACACAAAUUCUUUCUAAACCAAAUGCUUGAUGACCCCCCAGGAACAACCAACAGCUGACAGCACAGCAUGUCAUGAUACCACAAGGUUUCCCACAUGAAUAUCACAGACCAUUGAUCAAUAGACAUGCU